Molecule: ribosomal RNA, 253 nt
Filed under: uncultured bacterium
Lineage: Bacteria
Description: partial 16S ribosomal RNA
Rfam family: Bacterial small subunit ribosomal RNA
Source: RNAcentral
UACAGAGGGGGCAAGCGUUGUUCGGAAUUACUGGGCGUAAAGGGCGCGUAGGCGGCCUUCUAAGUCGGAUGUGAAAUCCCCGGGCUCAACCUGGGAAUUGCAUUCGAGACUGCAUUGCUAGAGUAUGGGAGAGGGAAGUGGAAUUUCCGGUGUAGCGGUGAAAUGCGUAGAUAUCGGAAGGAACAUCAGUGGCGAAAGCGACUUCCUGGACCAAUACUGACGCUCAUGUGCGAAAGCGUGGGGAGCAAACAGG